RNAcentral lists this ribosomal RNA (1059 nucleotides) under Triticum aestivum (bread wheat). Its description in RNAcentral is "partial small subunit ribosomal RNA". Lineage: Eukaryota; Viridiplantae; Streptophyta; Magnoliopsida; Poales; Poaceae. The record is from RNAcentral.
AUGUCGACCGGCCGGUCGAUUUCUGCCGGGAAGCUGCGCCACCGCACUCGAGUUUUUGUGGUGGCGCAGGACUCCGGCGAGGUGGGCAACCUCGUCUUCAAAAUCAAUCUCAAGCAUCUCUUCUCCCCCUCCCCCUCCCCCUCCCAGCCGGAGGGAGUGGAAGUGGAACCCCAUGCCCAAGCCCAGCUCGAGGCCGUCGCGUGCUUCAAGCAAGUCGACCAAUUCGAGAGCAUGGCGUUCGCCGCCUCUGCAUCUGGUGACGUCAUCGUCGCCGCUAACUACGCCGACAGCGGCCGGACCCUGAUCUACGACGCCGCCGCCGGCGGCGUCUCCCCCGGCCCGGAGAUGCGCUCCGUCAAGCAGCACCUGUUCCUCGUCCCGGUCGGAGACCGCAUGUUCUUCGCCAUGUCCGCCUACUCGCGCCUGGACUUCCCCCGGGGGGGACCCUGGUUCGAGGCUCUGCAGCAGCGGCCCCUCCCCGGCGGCGGCGGCCGCUGGGCCUGGAGCGCCCUUCCUGACCCGCCCGGCAUCGCUCGUGGCCGGAGGGAGGACGUCAGGGCCUACUUCGUCGCGGGCGCGCGUGUCUGGAUCUCCCUGCACCUCCAGGGCACCUAUUCAUUCGACACGGCGCGCCAACGGUGGCGCAAGGAGGGCGCGUGGGAGCUGCCCGUGGAGGGCCGGGCAUUCCUGGUGCCCGACUUUCUGGGCAGCGGCCGGCGGCUGCUGUUCGGCAUCUGCUCCUCCUGGGGGAAUCGCCACUUCUGUGCCGUCGACAUGGACGCCAGGCCGCCGGCGAUCCUCAGGUCCUGGCCUGAGGCACGGCCCACCGUCGCGCGGGCCGCGGGAUAUGUAGGAUGCUCCUUCCUCCCCGAGGUGAGCUACUUUGGGGGCGGCAGGUUUUGCAUUUCGAUGACGAAUCAGACCAAAGGGGAGAAUCGACGCAGCGUCGUCUCCUUCAAGGCCGUCGAGGUCACCGCCGAGCUGCAGCUGAUCGAACGCCGGUCCAGCCUCUACUUGAUGCCACAAAGCUCACGCGGGUCGCCCGCUGAUGUAAUCUAG